UUAAAUUGAAGAGUUUGAUCAUGGCUCAGAUUGAACGCUGGCGGCAGGCCUAACACAUGCAAGUCGAACGGUAACAGGAAGCAGCUUGCUGCUUUGCUGACGAGUGGCGGACGGGUGAGUAAUGUCUGGGAAACUGCCUGAUGGAGGGGGAUAACUACUGGAAACGGUGGCUAAUACCGC
RNAcentral lists this ribosomal RNA (180 nucleotides) under Salmonella enterica subsp. enterica serovar Kentucky. Its description in RNAcentral is "partial 16S ribosomal RNA". It matches the Rfam family "Bacterial small subunit ribosomal RNA", at positions 1 to 172 of the family's 1533-position model. The record is from RNAcentral. Lineage: Bacteria; Pseudomonadati; Pseudomonadota; Gammaproteobacteria; Enterobacterales; Enterobacteriaceae.